This 528-nucleotide ribosomal RNA is filed under the name uncultured bacterium. RNAcentral's name for it is "bacterial SSU rRNA". It matches the Rfam family "Bacterial small subunit ribosomal RNA", at positions 777 to 1301 of the family's 1533-position model. The record is from RNAcentral.
AAUAGAUACCCAGGUAGUCCACGCCGUAAACGAUGAGUGCUAAGUGUUAGAGGGUUUCCGCCCUUUAGUGCUGCAGCUAACGCAUUAAGCACUCCGCCUGGGGAGUACGGCCGCAAAGCUGAAACUCAAAGGAAUUGACGGGGGCCCGCACAAGCGGUGGAGCAUGUGGUUUAAUUCGAAGCAACGCGAAGAACCUUACCAGGUCUUGACAUCCUCUGCCAACCCUAGAGAUAGGGCGUUCCCCUUCGGGGGACAGAGUGACAGGUGGUGCAUGGUUGUCGUCAGCUCGUGUCGUGAGAUGUUGGGUUAAGUCCCGCAACGAGCGCAACCCUUGAUCUUAGUUGCCAGCAUUCAGUUGGGCACUCUAAGGUGACUGCCGGUGACAAACCGGAGGAAGGUGGGGAUGACGUCAAAUCAUCAUGCCCCUUAUGACCUGGGCUACACACGUGCUACAAUGGAUGGUACAAAGAGCUGCGAACCCGCGAGGGUAANCGAAAUCUCAUAAAGCCAAUUCUCAGUUCGGAUUGU